ACUAUUUUGACAGAAAAAUGUAAUGAUUUUAGAAUUCAUAAAUGUAUAAUAAUUAUAUACAAAUAGUA
RNAcentral lists this transfer RNA (68 nucleotides) under Acrolepiopsis assectella. RNAcentral's name for it is "tRNA-Leu". Lineage: Eukaryota; Metazoa; Arthropoda; Insecta; Lepidoptera; Plutellidae. The record is from RNAcentral.